Long non-coding RNA from Biomphalaria glabrata, 145 nucleotides. RefSeq lists it as uncharacterized. The transcript is spliced from 2 exons. Lineage: Eukaryota; Metazoa; Mollusca; Gastropoda; Planorbidae. The record is from RefSeq and is a predicted model, not a curated record.
UUUUCAGUCUUUGUGCGAAUCUGUCUACAAUAGAAGUCAAUGACAAAUAUUAUAGGAACUGAUUGACACAGUUGUAUCAAACAUUAUAAAGUGAAUAACCUGACGAUUUGAUCUGAUUAAACAAUUUUUGAAAAUAAAAAACAAA